RNAcentral lists this ribosomal RNA (207 nucleotides) under uncultured bacterium. RNAcentral describes it as "partial 16S ribosomal RNA". It matches the Rfam family "Bacterial small subunit ribosomal RNA", at positions 568 to 774 of the family's 1533-position model. The record is from RNAcentral.
CGUGUAGGUGGCUUGCCAAGUCUGGUGUGAAAUCCCACGGCUCAACUGUGGAACUGCAUUGGAAACUGGUAAGCUCGAGUAUUGGAGGGGGUCGCGGAAUUCCCGGUGUAGAGGUGAAAUUCGUAGAUAUCGGGAGGAACACCAGUGGCGAAGGCGGCGACCUGGCCAUUUACUGACACUGAGACGCGAAAGCGUGGGUAGCAAACA